GAUGAACGCUGGCGGCGUGCUUAACACAUGCAAGUCGAACGAAGCACUUAUGAAAGAUCCUUCGGGUGAUGGAUUAAGUGACUGAGUGGCGGACGGGUGAGUAACGCGUGGGUAACCUGCCUCAUACAGGGGGGAUAACAGUUAGAAAUGACUGCUAAUACCGCAUAAGCGCACAGGACCGCAUGGUCUAGUGUGAAAAACUCCGGUGGUAUGAGAUGGACCCGCGUCUGAUUAGCUAGUUGGUGGGGUAACGGCCUACCAAGGCGACGAUCAGUAGCCGGCCUGAGAGGGUGAACGGCCACAUUGGGACUGAGAUACGGCCCAGACUCCUACGGGAGGCAGCAGUGGGGAAUAUUGGGCAAUGGGGGAAACCCUGACCCAGCAACGCCGCGUGAAGGAAGAAGGCC
Molecule: ribosomal RNA, 407 nt
Filed under: uncultured bacterium
Lineage: Bacteria
Description: bacterial SSU rRNA
Rfam family: Bacterial small subunit ribosomal RNA
Source: RNAcentral